UUCGCAAUGCCCGAAAGGGUGACGAAGCGACGCCGCGUGUGGGAAGAAGGCCUUCGGGUUGUAAACCACUGUCGGGAGUUAAGAAAUGCAAGGGUGCUAAUAGUAUCCUUGCUUGACUAAGGCUCCGGAGGAAGCCACGGCUAACUCUGUGCCAGCAGCCGCGGUAAUACAGAGGCGGCAAGCGUUGUUCGGAAUUAUUGGGCGUAAAGAGCACGUAGGCGGCUAUGUAAGUCGGUUGUGAAAGCCUUCCGCUCAACGGAAGAACAGCAUCCGAUACUGCAUGGCUUGAGUGUGGGAGGGGAGAGUGGAACUUCUGGUGGAGCGGUGAAAUGCGUAGAUAUCAGAAGGAACGCCGGCGGCGAAAGCGGCUCUCUGGCCCAUAACUGACGCUGAGUGUGCGAAAGCUAGGGGAGCAAACGGGAUUAGAUACCCCGGUAGUCCUAGCCGUAAACGAUGGGCACUAAGUAGAGGGGUUUU
This 477-nucleotide ribosomal RNA is filed under the name uncultured anaerobic ammonium-oxidizing bacterium. Its description in RNAcentral is "bacterial SSU rRNA". It matches the Rfam family "Bacterial small subunit ribosomal RNA", at positions 365 to 832 of the family's 1533-position model. The record is from RNAcentral.